This 447-nucleotide ribosomal RNA is filed under the name uncultured bacterium. RNAcentral's name for it is "bacterial SSU rRNA". It matches the Rfam family "Bacterial small subunit ribosomal RNA", at positions 330 to 794 of the family's 1533-position model. The record is from RNAcentral.
UCCAGACUCCUACGGGAGGCAGCAGUGGGGGAUAUUGCACAAUGGGGGAAACCCUGAUGCAGCGACGCCGCGUGUGGGAAGACGGUCCUCUGGAUUGUAAACCACUGUCCCCAGGGACGAAAAUGACGGUACCUGGGGAGGAAGCUCCGGCUAACUACGUGCCAGCAGCCGCGGUAAUACGUAGGGGGCAAGCGUUAUCCGGAUUCACUGGGUGUAAAGGGAGCGUAGACGGCGACGCAAGUCUGGAGUGAAAGCCCGGGGCCCAACCCCGGGACUGCUUUGGAAACUGUAUGGCUGGAGUGCAGGAGAGGUAAGUGGAAUUCCUAGUGUAGCGGUGAAAUGCGUAGAUAUUAGGAGGAACACCAGUGGCGAAGGCGGCUUACUGGACUGUAACUGACGUUGAGGCUCGAAAGCGUGGGGAGCAAACAGGAUUAGAUACCCGGUAAU